AGAACGAACGCUGGCGGCAUGCCUAACACAUGCAAGUCGAGCGAGACCUUCGGGUCUAGUGGCGCACGGGUGCGUAACGCGUGGGAAUCUGCCCUUGGGUUCGGGAUAACAGUUGGAAACGACUGCUAAUACCGGAUGAUAUCUUCGGAUCAAAGAUUUAUCGCCCAGGGAUGAGCCCGCGUAGGAUUAGCUUGUUGGUGAGGUAAGAGCUCACCAAGGCGACGAUCCUUAGCUGUCUAAGAGGAUGAUCAGCCACACUGGGACUGAGACACGGCCCAGACUCCUACGGGAGCAGCAGUGGGGAAUAGUUGGACAAGUGGGCGAAAGCCUAGGAUUCCAGUAAUGCCGCGUGAGUGAUGAAGGCCUUAGGUUGUAAAGUCUACGUUUACCCGGAUGAUAAGUGACAGUACCGGAAGAAGUAACGCCCCGGAUAACCGUCCGACGU
This 445-nucleotide ribosomal RNA is filed under the name uncultured soil bacterium. RNAcentral describes it as "bacterial SSU rRNA". It matches the Rfam family "Bacterial small subunit ribosomal RNA", at positions 26 to 511 of the family's 1533-position model. The record is from RNAcentral.